Long non-coding RNA from Ictalurus punctatus (channel catfish), 470 nucleotides. The record is from Ensembl. NCBI's taxonomy places the organism in Eukaryota, Metazoa, Chordata, Actinopteri, Siluriformes, Ictaluridae.
UUGGAUGGAUGUCUGCUUUUGCUAUGAAUCACAGGGUCUGUUGCUUUAAGCUUUAUGAGGCCAGUGAUAUUCCCUAUUCAUUGGUUUUCAUCUAGUCCCUCAUAUGUUUUUAGAGGUAUCUGUAUCCGCUCCCAGCAUGAAACACAUGCAUGUAGUAGUAGCAGUAAUAGUAGUAGUGGUAGUAAUAGUGGUAAUCGUAGUAGUAGUAGUAGUAGUAGUAGUAGUGGUAGUAAUAGUAGUAGUAGUUAUAGUAGUAGUAGUAGUCGUAGUAGUAGUAGUAGUUAUAGUAGUAAUGGUGGUAGUAGUAGUAAUAGUAGUAGUAGUAGUAGCAGUAGUUAGUAGUAGUAGUAGUAUUAUUAGUAGUAGUAUUCAAUUCAAUUGUAUUUGUAUAGUGCUUUUUUACAAUGGGUAUGGUCUCAACGCAGCUUUACAGAAACAUAUAAACACAGGAUACAGAUUUUAAGGGUGUG